Molecule: long non-coding RNA, 1975 nt
Filed under: Macaca fascicularis (crab-eating macaque)
Lineage: Eukaryota; Metazoa; Chordata; Mammalia; Primates; Cercopithecidae
Description: lncRNA (ENSMFAG00000050876.1)
Source: RNAcentral
GUUCCUACUUCUAAGCUCUGAUCUUCAUGUGUCUUAGUCAGCUUGGACUGCCAUGAGGAGGUACCACAGAUAGGAAGCAUCAACAAUAGACAUUUGUGUCUCACAUUCUGGAGGCAGGGAUUCAGUUUCUGGUGAGGGCUCCCUUCCUGACUUGCAGACUGCCACCUUCUCGCUAUGACCUCGCAAGACCUUUCCUUUGUAUGUGUUCUUGGAGAGAAAUAAUUAGCUUUGGUGUCUUUUGUUUUCUUUCUUUCUCUCUCUCUUUCUUUCUUUCUUUUUUUUUUUUUGACAGAGUCUCACUCUGUCACCCAGGCUGGAGUGCAGUGGCGCCAUCUCAGCUCACUGCAAGUUCCGCCUCCCGAGUUCAUACCAUUCUCUCACCUCAGCCUCCUGAGUAGCUGGGACUACAGGCAUGCACCACCACACCCAGCUAAUUUUGUUUUUGUAUUUUUAUAGGGACGGGGUUUCACCAUUUUAGCCAGAAUGGUCUUAAUCUCCUGACCUCGUGAUCUGCCUGCCUCAGCCUCCCAAAGUGCUGGGAUUACAGGCAUGAGCCACCGCAUCCGGCUGUUUUCUUUCUUUCUUAAAAAGUUUUUGUAGAGAUGGGAUCUUACUAUAUUGCCCAGGCUGGUCCCAAACUCCUGGGUUUGAGCAAUCCUCCUGCCUCAGUUUCUCAAAGUGCUGGGAUUAUAGAUGAGAGCCACUGCACCUGGCCUGUCUUUUCUUUUUCUUUUUGUUUUCUUUCUGGUAUCUCUUCUUAUAGGAACACUAAUCCUAUCAGUUCAGGGCCCCACCCUGAUGACACAUGUAACGUCCACUACCCCUUUAGAGGCCCUGUCUGCCAAUGCAGCCACACUGGAGGUUAUAGCUUCAACAUAUGAACUUGGGGGAACACAACAAAGUCUGCAGCACCUUGAAAGCAGUAGCCACACCUGAUUCAGCUUUUCAUUCCCUCAUCAGAGCACAGUUUCGACAUAUCAUAGUGUCCAAUAAAUGUGAAUUCAGGGGAAUCUUGAAUAAAAUGGCAGAGCUGAUAUUUUAACCCAGGUCUUCAAAUCACCAAAUGAAGUGCUGGACAUCAUAGCUGGGCACCUAUGGGGAAUUAAAGAAAGAAUACACCAUGGUUUGCCCACUGGGAGGAUAACCUUGUUCUGGUGGCAGGACGUACAGUGGAUACAAAUUAUAUACACCAUGCGGAGUGGGCUAGUGAGGAGGUGAGGAAGGGGGGACCAGAAAGGAUGGGAAGUGAGCUGGCCCUAAGAGACUGGUUUGCUUUGGGGUUUCGGGAGUAGCAAGGAGAGGCAGGAAGGGCAACUCCAGCCAGAAAACCUGGGAUCUACGAUUGAGGUCUGAGUUUCAGCAUGGUGGUCUAGGAUGGGAUGAAAGUUCAAGAAAAAUUGGGGCUUUGGAAGAACUUUGGAAGGUCUGAACCAAAAGAUGGCAUUGAAAAUAACCUUGCCAACCUAUAACAUAUAACAUCAAUCAAACAAAAGUUCUGAUCUUUUAACCAACUAUUUAAAAGUUAAUAGAGGCUGGGCAUGGUGGCUCAUGCCUGUCAUUCCAGUGCUUUGGGAGGCUGAGGUGGGAGGGUCACUUGAGCCCAGGGUUUGAGACCAGCCUGGGCAGCAUAGUAAGACCUUGUCUCUACAAAAAUAAAAUUUAAAAAAAUUAGUCAGGGCCUGGCGCUUUGGCUCACACCUGUAACCCCAACACUUUGGGAAUCCCAGGCAAGUGGAUCACUUGAGGUCAAGAGUUCCAAACCAGACUGGCCAACAUGAUGAAACCCCAUCUCUACUAAAAAUGCAAAAUAUUAGCCUGGCAUGGUGGCUCACGCCUGUAAUUUUAGCUACUCAGGAGUUUGAGGCAGGAGAGUUGCUUGAACUUGGGAGGUUGAGGUUGCAGUGAGCCAAGAUCAUGCCACUGCACUCCAGCCUGGGCAACAGAGCGAGACUCUCGCUCUCAAAAAAAAAAAAAA